This 67-nucleotide transfer RNA is filed under the name Thyrsites atun (snoek). RNAcentral describes it as "tRNA-Cys". Lineage: Eukaryota; Metazoa; Chordata; Actinopteri; Scombriformes; Gempylidae. The record is from RNAcentral.
AAGCCUCGGCAGAAGUCUAUUCCGCUACUCAAGAUUUGCAAUCUUGCAUGUAAAACACUUCAAAGCU